UGAUGACAGUCUCCGGAAUCGCUGCACCGCGUUGAUGAAAGCGCAUUUGAACCCUUUUCCAUCUGACGACUGAGCGUUUUCCUU
This 84-nucleotide small nucleolar RNA is filed under the name Propithecus coquereli (Coquerel's sifaka). RNAcentral's name for it is "Small nucleolar RNA MBII-202 (ENSPCOG00000005674.1)". It matches the Rfam family "Small nucleolar RNA MBII-202". From Rfam's summary of the family: MBII-202 is a member of the C/D class of snoRNA which contain the C (UGAUGA) and D (CUGA) box motifs. Most of the members of the box C/D family function in directing site-specific 2'-O-methylation of substrate RNAs. Lineage: Eukaryota; Metazoa; Chordata; Mammalia; Primates; Indriidae. The record is from Rfam by way of RNAcentral.